AAUAUAAUGUAGUGAAAAUGCAGAAUCUGUGCUGUGUUAUUAAUCCUAGAUGUGAAGUUGAGCUCUGAUCAUCUGUUGUGUAAAAGCAGAAGUGAAUGUGAGCAUUGAGGAGGUUUUUGUCAUGAUGUGAAUCACUGUGAUACCCACUCUUUAGCAGAGCUGUCAUAUGUCUAACAGUAAUACACUGCAGAAUCACUCACAUCCACAUUACGUAUGAUCAGACUAUAAUCUGAUUUAGAUGAAUGUGUUGAUGUGAAUUUAGGAGCAGAGAAACCAGAUCCAUAGCUAGGUGAUCUCCAGCCAUGAUAAAAUCUUAACACAUACUGAGGAACUCCUGCUGCAGUCUGCUUGUACCAUCUAGCUUCAGAAUCAGUCACAGUGCCCAGAUUACAGUCCAGUUGAGCGGUUUGUCCUUUACUGACUGUGAUUACUGGACUCUGAGUCACUACAGUCACUCCACUGACACCUGCAGAACAAACACAAGCUUUACAUGAGAUCGUGUGUCCAACACUUUAAACUGUCCAUCAGACAUGAGGAAACUCACAGGUCAGAAGAGUGCAGACAGAGCAGAAUAUUGAGAUCAUCUUGUGAUUUGGUGUCUGUGACGUGUAAAGAUGAGCAGUGCUGUAGAAUAAAGCUGAGAUGAUCAGAGAGAGAAACUUGAAGACUGUAGAGACACUAAAAGAGACGCCCGCCUCAGUUUCACAGUCAUUUACAUAAACCUGCUGAGAUAACAGGUGUCUCCUGAGCGUGCGCAUGUACAGUUAUGUGAGUCAGGGUUCACUGCAUCCACUUCAGGUCAUAAUUCACGUCUCUCUGCUCUUCAUUGAUGUGUGUUUUAUGCAGAUAAACAUCAGGAAGAGCAGAAAACAGUCACUAAUUCUAGAGCAAUAUCAGAUGAAUCCCACACAUAAUCCUCUCUAGCUGUGGUUUGUAAUGAAGGUGUAAAUGUUUUAGUGAGUUUGUUCUGUAUCUGCAGGGCUGAAGAUGUGCUGUGAGGAUCUGACUUCAGUAAGGAUCAGACCCGGGUCUCCUGUGCUCUGACUCUCAGCUCUUCUAAACUGAGCUUCACUUCACAAUGACUGAAUUCAGGAGCAGAAGAUGAAGAAGCCGUCUAAAGCGGUCGAGUUCAGUAAAAGAAGAAACUAAUUCUUCAGUCAGAGACACAAAAUAAUAAAUGAAACUUCAUUUCUCAGCAUUUCUCCACUAACAGAAGCUCAAAACUGAACUGAUAAAGCUUUAGACAGGAGCUGCUCUUCUGCCACUAAUAAUUCACUGUGUUAAGCACUGAUAUUAGAGUUAU
This is a long non-coding RNA of Danio rerio (zebrafish), 1303 nucleotides long. NCBI's taxonomy places the organism in Eukaryota, Metazoa, Chordata, Actinopteri, Cypriniformes, Danionidae. The record is from Ensembl.